CCAUGUACAAGUCUCUUGGAACAGAGCGUCAUAGAGGGUGAGAAUCCCGUCCUUGACAUGGACUCCCRGUGCUUUGUGUUGUGCUCUCAACGAGUCGAGUUGUUUGGGAAUGCAGCUCAAAAUGGGUGGUAAAUUCCAUCUAAAGCUAAAUAUUGGCGAGAGACCGAUAGCGAACAAGUACCGUGAGGGAAAGAUGAAAAGCACUUUGGAGAGAGAGUUAAACAGUACGUGAAAUUGUUGAAAUGGAAACGCUUGAAGUCAGUCGCGUUCUCUGGGAUUCAGCCUUGCUUUUGCUUGGUGCAUUUCCUAGUCUACGGGCCAGCAUGAAUUUCGACCGGUGGAAAAAGAUUUGGGGAAUGUGGCACCUUCGGGUGUGUUAUAGCCCCUUGUCACAUACACCGGUUGGGAUUGAGGUCUUAGUGCACGCUUCGGUUGUGCUUUGAUGCUGGCGUAAUGGCUUUAAACGACCCGUCUUGAAACACGGACCAAGGAGUCUAACAUGUCUGCGAGUGUUUGGGUGYAAAACCCGAGCGCGCAAUGAAAGUGAUAGUUGGGAACCUCUUCAGAGGGGCACCGACGCCCGGACCAGACCUUCUGUGACGGAUCCGAGGUAGAGCAUAUAUGUUGGGACCCGAAAGAUGGUGAACUAUGCCUGCAUAGGGUGAAGCCAGAGGAAACUCUGGUGGAGGCUCGUAGCGAUUCUGACGGCAAAUCGAU
RNAcentral lists this ribosomal RNA (717 nucleotides) under Rhizoctonia solani. Its description in RNAcentral is "LSU rRNA". It matches the Rfam family "Eukaryotic large subunit ribosomal RNA", at positions 175 to 902 of the family's 3401-position model. The record is from RNAcentral. Lineage: Eukaryota; Fungi; Basidiomycota; Agaricomycetes; Cantharellales; Ceratobasidiaceae.